Molecule: RNA transcript, 1898 nt
Organism: Cottoperca gobio
Lineage: Eukaryota; Metazoa; Chordata; Actinopteri; Perciformes; Bovichtidae
Gene: copz2
Gene name: COPI coat complex subunit zeta 2
Exons: 11
Source: RefSeq, a predicted model, not a curated record
UUAUCCAGUUGGCUGCUGCGGAGCAGGAGCGCGCCCGGGCGGUGAUCUCGGUGUGACAGCUCAGAGCUGUCCACGUCAACACACCGAGCGAGCGAGCACGGCGGCGGCAGCGAUGGACUCCACGUCUCUGGAACCUACCCUUUACACAGUGAAAGCUGUUUUCAUUCUUGACAAUGAUGGCAACAGACUUCUGUCAAAGUACUAUGAUCCUGGGCUUUACCCCUCCAUGAAGGAACAGAAGAACUUUGAGAAGAACAUUUUCAACAAGACACACAAAGGAGACCAUGAGAUAGCUUUCCUGGAGGGGAUGACUAUCGUCUAUAAGAGCAGUAUAGAUCUCUUCUUCUAUGUGGCAGGAAGUGCUCAGGAGAACGAGCUGAUGCUGAUGUCAGUCCUGAACUGCCUGUUUGAGUCCCUCAGUCAGAUCCUCAGGAAAAAUGUGGAGCGGAGGUAUUUACUGGACAACAUGGAAGGAGUGUUACUGGUUGUGGACGAAAUCAUUGAUGGAGGGGUGAUUUUGGAGAGUGACCCCCAGCAGGUCCUGCAGAAGGUCAACUAUAGGCUAAUGUCAGAGCCAGCCUAUGGCUUUGUCCUGUUUGAUUACAUCACCAGUAACGUAGAGGGACAAACAGACAAGAGCCAGCUGCUGUAGACAGACAGGCAGAGGGCGGAUGAAAACCCAUUAUCUGAACACAGCGUGGCCCAGCACAUAACAGAGAAACUGGCUCUGACUACUAACGUUCUGCAGUCAGCCAAGGAGCAGAUCAAAUGGUCCAUACUGAAAUGACUGGGCACAGACACAUUUAGGAUUCCCAAGAAAGGUCCAGAGCUAUUUUUUAUUAUAGCCCAGGCUAAAGGGAAAGUGGUUACCGGUACAAGCCUGUUGGUCAAGAGGCUGCUUAUAUAGCAAAUACCCAGCCAGUAAUAGGAUUUCUUUCUAUGUGUAAUGGCCUUUUGUUACAUUGUGUGUGACAUGUAAUUAAUUUAUUUGGUUUGAGAGUUAUGUUAGUUCAUACUCUAGAUGUGUCAUUUAACAGGCCAUAUACAACAGGAAAUGAAAGGAAAGUGUCCAGCUGUGCUUCCACAAAGGACAGUUAUUAUCAAUGAAGAUACUGGAAGCCUGGUUAGUGAACAACAAUAUAUUGCUUGGUGGAGCAGGAUCUUCAGCUCCUGUUUACUCGAAACUGAAUUUGAUUGUAGGAUUUAUUUCAGCUGUUUUGCAUAUUGCUGAUAUGUACAACUUUCCCCUAAAAAAUGUUACAAUCUAUUUAAGGAAAUACACAUUCCUAUCAAUCUUACAUUAAUCUGGGAAAUCAGAAUAGACACAGAAAAAUAACACUACAAUUCAAGCUAAAAGGGUGAUUAUCACAUAAGAAGAGAAAAGUGCUGAACCAUGUCAUUUAACAAGGUAUAAGUUAAAUUCACUCACUGACAUAAUUUUUGCACUGAAGUGCUCCGUUUAAUAAAGUUUGUUGUUGGGAUUGUGCUUUGUACAGCUUAUUAAAGGAAUGUAAUGAUGCCUUAUGACACAAAACAAAUGUUGGCACCAUGUGUAAGAGGCAACAUGUUACUGUGGCAGUUAAACCUUAUUCUCCUGAAAGUGGAAUUCUCAUGAAGGUAAAUAUGGAUCUGUACAUAUAAUUGAUCUUAAGAGUCAAAGGGACGUUGAAGGUUAUGAAAUACCGAGGAUGAUUUUGUGAAAAGAGUUAUAAAGAGUAAUAUCUAUUUUCUGAGAGAUAAAGAUGUUGAUAGGUAUUAAAUAUUUUCUUAGUUGAAAAAAAAAAGCCAAAGACAUUUCGUUUACAUUUGGAUGUUGAAACAUUGUGAUGGAGGGCCUUCUGUCUGUCCGCCAUUUGUGAGACUGACAUUUGUCUGAUAAUAAAACAUUUGUCUUCUUA